Hyaena hyaena (striped hyena) is the source of this 317-nucleotide long non-coding RNA. RefSeq lists it as uncharacterized. The record is from RefSeq and is a predicted model, not a curated record. The transcript has 3 exons. NCBI's taxonomy places the organism in Eukaryota, Metazoa, Chordata, Mammalia, Carnivora, Hyaenidae.
AUGGGUGAGCCUGCAUCUAGAAAAUUACCCCUGGCUGUUCCCGGAAGAUGAAAGAAACGUGACAACUCACAUGCUGGUUCUUAAAACUUUUACUCAAAAAUGGCACUUCAUCAGCUUAAACAAAUCGCAUGUUCAUGCCUGAAUUUAGAAGAGCAAGGAUGGAACCACAGGCCACCCUUGAUGGAAAUGGAGAAGGGGUAUCUCUGGGUCUUAUGAGAAGAAUGGAAUGUAUAAAGACCAUAGAGGAGGUGGAGAGAGGUAGUUCUACUGGACAGCAUUAUAUUAUAAUCAACAAAGAAGACUAAAGUCGUAUAAUG